GGGACAGAGGUUCUGUCUUAGCCGGCUCAAGGUGCAGCGCUAACGGUGCUAACUACAGGGAACGCUCUGACGGAAGUAGUGUUGGUGCCGCGUUACCAUGACUACGCUGCGUUAUCACCCAAAACCGCCCUAUGAGAGCAGUGCAGAGUAACCAGUGCAGCGCGCUCCCGUCAUGGAACGUGCAAGGAGCAUCCAAGGCCGGCCCGGCUAUGUCAACAAGGCGAGGACACGCCGGGGGGACGACGACUGGCGGCGGGAGAGCGAAUUAGUCCUCUGCUCAGUACUACCAAGAUGCCAAAGAAGGUUGAGAUGACGAGAGGACAGGAUUGUACACAGUCAGUACUUUUUAAUUAAUGAAUAUAUCGGAGAGGCUGAGAUACAUCAGCCUACAUUUCAAAGGCAAUGUGUUAAAACUGUGAGCUUAUUAUCGCCCCCAAAUUCAUUUAAAGCAAAGUAUGACUGAACAUGUCCGUCUCCACGGAAUUAUUCCGACAGUCAAAAGCUGUUUUCGGAAAGUCCUUUUUCGUCACCCUAAACCAGCCGGCAAAACCAACGUUUGUCUAUUGGCGGGAUUAACGGCGCCCCGCUAAAGGCGCCCCCUGCUUCUCUAGUGUCGCUUUUCUGCAGGACAGUUGUGAAAACAUCAGCCGUGACAACAGAGGAGCAGAAGCCGCUGCCAGAUGACACCUCCCAGCCUCUAAUGGAGAUACAGUGUGAGGAGGGGGAGGAGGAGGAGGAGGAGGGGGAGGAAGAUGGUUUGUGCCACUGCUGACUUGUCACUGCCAGCCCAGCAGGCUCAUCCUGCUCCUGAUUAAUGGAGCUGUCCGUUGGGCCUCGCAGGGGAAGAGCGGGGCUCUUCUCCCGUCCCCAGAAGCCCCCGUUUAUUUUCCCACAACAGAUGGGCCCCCCGGGGCCUCGGGCUCGUUUGCACCUUCUGCGCUCGGCAUCCUUCAUCUUAAUCAGUAAAUCGGUUCCAGAGCACGGAGCCACGCGACCUACAGGCGACCUCUGUUACUUGUCCUCCUUCGGAUGCUCUAGAAAACAACAAUUUCUUCCUCUGCGCGUCCUCACCCCCCCCCCCCCCUGUCCCAGGAGACGGGCCCGAUGUGGUCGUCCUUCAGGGCCUUAAUGUAGUGUGAUGUUAGUCACAAAUCCAUGAUGGAAUACGCCAGUUUUUCUCCUGUAAUAGGCAUCACUACUCCACAUCAUUAUAAUUCACAUGGCUGUUUUAAAGGGCGCCCUGGACAUAUUUGGGGGGGCCGGUCUCCUGCAGUUAGACGUUAAAUCCAUAAUGAAGUGAAUGUAUCAAGCAUUUCUCGAAUAUAAAAGUUUCUCUCCCUUUCAAUUGUCUUUCUUUGAAUGGACUGAAAGAUGAGAAUCCGGUUGUUAUUGAUCACAAUGGAACCAAUCCGGGGUUUUUUUUAAGGCGUUGCUUCGCUGCUCAUCAACACAAAGUCAUUCCGCUCCAAGGCUUUUUCUUUUCAAUGCGAUCUAAUGUUAUGUUUAUUCGUCAUUCAUUCAGGCAUAAAGAAAGGAUUAUUUUCACCGUCUCAAUUUCCUUAAUUGAUCAAUUACUGGUCAGCCAAUUUAACAUUUUCUGUUUGAGAAUGUGUUUUUUCUUCUUUUUUUUUUUUUUUAAUCGCCAGUUUCUGCCAAAUUAGACAAACGUAACACCAGACGGGAGAAGAAGAAAAAAAACACGCUUGUCCCCAGAAGCGUGUCUGCCAUGUCUCCUGAGCCUUUUAUUCACACAGCAGAUUGUCUCCGUUUGUCUCAGAUUCAAAAAGAAUUCCACUUGGAACGGAGAAGACGGCCCUGGAACUGCCCGCUAAUCGUCGCAGGCGCACAAAUCCUUUGUUUUAACCCUCAGCUUUUUUUUAUAUUUCCUUUUGUGGCGGGUUGGACGUGUCUUAUCCUCUCUCCUCUGGGGGGGACAUUGGACAUUGUUUCCUGACAUCCUGCUGAUGACUGUUGUUUUCUUUUCACUAUCGGGGAAAAGCAGAACGGGACUUUUUCAGUUGCUGCUGAUUCACCGCAGAUUAGAUUGCUUUCCCCGGGCGUGAGAUCGCUUGGUUUCACUCUGUGACAUGAGGCAUUUAUAGUUGGGGCUUUAAUGCGUUCCGUUAUACGCGCAUGCUGUGAAUAUAAAGGGGACGGCUCUUUUUAUGUCUUGUGACAUCGAUUCGUGUCCGAAGCAUUUGCGACAGAUUUCAGCUCAUCGCAUUAAGUAACUGCUUCCUUCCGCUGAUUAUUUUCCUUGGAAGUUUUUUUUUCUCUACUAAGAGGGGAGUAAAACAGAUGCUUCAUGAGGGAGAAUUAGCCAGAUCUCUAAAUGUAAACUGAUUAAGGAUUAGUGGAGUGCGGCUCUGUCUCUUUUCCGCUCCCCUGAAAGUCAACGUUUCCCUGCCUCUCCCUGCAGCACACGUUUUAAUAUUCCUCGAAACUCUCACUGCAUUUUGGCUCAGCGAGGAUUUAUUUUGGCUGAAGAAAGUCGCAGGGGCAGUUUUGGUUACACUGCUGCAGAAGUAAGCGGUUUAAUGCUUAAAAUCCAACAGAUUUUCACACCUCCGUCACCAUUUGGCCUUCAGUAAACACCGGGCCGCGGAGGUUAACCGUCCUCACGCGGUACGCUGGCAGUUUACAAUGAAAACCGUGGCCGAUUGGCAGAUUUAUCAUAUUUGAAAUACUCCCACAGACGCGGAUUUAUCAGCUUUUCGAUGGCUAGCUAAUCCUUUACAUCUAUUGUUUGGUUGAACACUUUGUCUCCUAAUUUAUAAUGUUUUCAGCUGUGUUUUUAAAAGAACAAACCGGAUGUUCGAGCUAAUCCUUUAAUUAAGCAUCAAACGCCAGCCAACGAGUGCAGAGAAAGUCCGCGUUGGGAGGAGGCCGAGGCGGCUUCUGCACAACUCAUCAAGUGGUUUCGUUGGCUGGAUUCCACCUGACGGAGAACGAACACUACAACGCUGGUCUGCAGAGAUGCGCGUUGACCACAUUUUAUUCCGGCGACCGAUGAGUCAAUCAAUACAUCCCGGGGAGUACACGUCUUUGUACACCUCCUUCCUUUGUGGCGGACAACGGUUCGCUCUUUGUCUGCGAUGCCCUCACAUGGUGUUCCAGCCCACCUCCGUUUUAAUCUCUCUGGGCGCGAGCCAACUCUAAAUGCACAGAUCGCCGCUUUUCACAGAGACAGCAGUGUCAGCAGGGCUGUGCUCCUCCGCUGAGGCCCCCGGUGCUAAACCCCCACCCCCAAACCCCCACCCCCACACCCACACCCCGGGUCCCUGCCUCCCAUGCCCCGAAAAGGAGGUGGAACCUGCGGGACGGGGCUCUGCGGCAGUGGCCUGGUCCUCAUCAGCCGGUGGAGGUGUUUUUCAUUCAUUUACUCCGCAGCGCGACUCUGCCUUUAACAUUAAACAAGCAACGGUCGACGUGUAAAUAUUUAGCCUUCUGUGUUUGAGCGAGUUCAAAAGCUG
Molecule: long non-coding RNA, 3473 nt
Organism: Gasterosteus aculeatus aculeatus (three-spined stickleback)
Lineage: Eukaryota; Metazoa; Chordata; Actinopteri; Perciformes; Gasterosteidae
Source: Ensembl